GACGAACGCUGGCGGCGUGCUUAACACAUGCAAGUCGAACGGAAAGGCCCUGCUUUUGUGGGGUGCUCGAGUGGCGAACGGGUGAGUAACACGUGAGUAACCUGCCCUUGACUUUGGGAUAACUUCAGGAAACUGGGGCUAAUACCGGAUAGGAGCUCCUGCUGCAUGGUGGGGGUUGGAAAGUUUCGGCGGUUGGGGAUGGACUCGCGGCUUAUCAGCUUGUUGGUGGGGUAGUGGCUUACCAAGGCUUUGACGGGUAGCCGGCGUGAGAGGGUGACCGGCCACAUUGGGACUGAGAUACGGCCCCGACUCCUACGGGAGGCAGCAGUGGGGAAUAUUGCACAAUGGGCGGACGCCUGAUGCAGCAACGCCGCGUGCGGGAUGACGGCCUUCGGGUUGUAAACCGCUUUCGCCUGUGACGAAGCGUGAGUGACGGUAAUGGGUAAAGAAGCACCGGCUAACUACGUG
RNAcentral lists this ribosomal RNA (468 nucleotides) under uncultured bacterium. Its description in RNAcentral is "partial 16S ribosomal RNA". It matches the Rfam family "Bacterial small subunit ribosomal RNA", at positions 28 to 507 of the family's 1533-position model. The record is from RNAcentral.